This 117-nucleotide ribosomal RNA is filed under the name Methanothrix soehngenii. RNAcentral also lists the same sequence under 1 other name. Lineage: Archaea; Methanobacteriati; Methanobacteriota; Methanomicrobia; Methanotrichales; Methanotrichaceae. The record is from RNAcentral.
UCCGGUGAAUAUGACAGAGAGGUCACACCUGUUCCCUUCCCGAACACAGCAGUUAAGCUCUCUGGUGCCCACGAUACUUGGCUGGUAACGGCCCGGGAAAAUAGGUCUUCGCCGGAU